Molecule: long non-coding RNA, 1085 nt
Filed under: Sus scrofa (pig)
Lineage: Eukaryota; Metazoa; Chordata; Mammalia; Artiodactyla; Suidae
Description: lncRNA (ENSSSCG00015073185.1)
Source: RNAcentral
GCUUUUUAUUGACUGCCUAUCAUUGAUCAAGCCAGUCCUGCAGGCGGCCACUGAGGUAUAUCCAGUGGGGUCUAUCUCAGCCCUACCCUUCUUGAGUUCUUUUGGCUGGUCUAAUAAUUCAAUUGACACAAGACAAAUUAACAGGAGAAAAAAAAACUUGUGUAUAUGGUGGUCUCAUAGAAAUAGAAUUCCCUCCAAAAGUACAAAAGCAGGCAGCUUUUAUACUUUUGAGACAAACAUAAAUCUGUGAAGAAGACAAAGAAAUGUAGGCUUGGGUGUUUAAUUAGUGAAGAAUAUGACAGUUUUAGCUUGGGGUAGUCAAUUAGUAAAGAAGUAACAAGCUUUGUUACUGGCUUUCUGGCCCUGAAUUCCCUAUCUCUGGUGUUAAGGAUGUCUCUCUACCUCCAGAUACAGGGUGUGUACCUUUCACAUGGGAGAUUUAUUUUCUGUUUUCAGAGGGCCAGGGAUUGAACCUGAGUCCUCAUGGAUGCUAGUCAGGUUCAUUAACCACUGAGCCAUCAUGGGAACUCCUCUGAUUAUUGAUACAACAUACUAUUGAGGUGGCAAAAAGAAACAGGAAAAUUUUGAGAGUAUGUAAAAUGAAGCACUUUUUGGAGAAGGAUGAAACUCAAAUGAGGCCUCAUCUUUAUUGAUGAAACUUCCUUCAUUUACACCAUAAUUAUUAACCAUAUUAAUAUUUAUGCAGGAUUGAUUUUUGUUUUAAUUUGUAUCACUCAAAUCAUACUAUUCACACAUAGGAAAUAAGGUCAUGUUUACAGUUUAUAUUACAGUAAAUAAAAGCAACUCUCAGGGUUCCCAUUGUGGCUCAGUGGUUUAUGAGCCCGACUAGUAUCCAUGAGGGCAUGGGUUAAAUCCAUGGCCUUGCUCAAUGGGUUGGGGAUCUGGUAUUGCUGUGAGCUGUGGUGCAGGUCACAGAUAUGGCUCGGAUGCCAUUUUGCUGUGGCUGUGGCAUAGGCCAGCAGCUACAACUCCAAUUCAACUCCUAGCCUGGUAACUUCCAUAUACCGUGGGUGCAGCCCUAAAAAGACAAAAGACAGAAGACAAAAAAAAAAAAAAAAAAAAAA